ACUGCUUAUCUUCUUCUUCCUCGUGAAAACAGCCAUUCACCUCCAUUGAAGAGACCUAAAACCAGCAGCCCUACCCCUUCUGAACCCUAGAGGACAAAAUCACCUUAGAGUCAAGGCAAAAGAAGGCCGCUGCGGAUCUUCUUCUUCCUCGCAAAGAGCUUCAGCCGCACCUCCAUAACACCCACGGCUAGAAUUCUUUUUCCUUCUCCAACACCCAUGGCCAGAACGCUCCCCCCCCCCCAAAAAAAACACCAGCGACUCACCCCAUCUCCCUCAUCCCUUUUUCUCGCCACCGUUGCUAUAUGACGAAGUAGCCGGAGGUGACUGGCCUCCAUUAACACCAGCCAUCACCUCGCUACCUCACUUCUCCUCUCUCAUCUCCUUGUUUUUUUAAAUUUGGAACUUUCAUGGAGUAAAUAGUAGAUUUGCCUGAUUGGUUGGUUUUUGGCCGAGAAAUAACAUUUCCGGUAGCCAUAUACCAUUGUUGUUCAUUUUGGCCGGAGUCACGUCCUUCGCUGGUGAAUUUACUACCUUUCUGGCAUCUCUGCACUUCGCCACUAUUUUUUGGCAUAUUUCUCGACGAAAACCAACCGAGCAGCAAACUCCGUCGAAGAUCCGGCGAAGCUUCUAUGUCGAGGUUCUGUUCGAGGACGACGGCAUUGGUUUCGUAUUCCAUUCACUUCAUGGACGAUUUGAUGUACAAGUUCCCUUAUCAAUAUAUAGAAGACAUUGAGGUUCAUUUUUAGCCUUUAUCUUUUUUAAGAUUUCAGAAAGUCUAUAGUAUUUGUUUUUAUCGUAUGUUAAUGGUUUUGGUUUGAACACAAAGGAUCUUAAAUAGCUCACCUUUCUUUAUUUUGUCUAUGUCAUUUGGUUGCCUAAUACGUUGGAGGUUGGUUGGUUGCGUGACAUGACUUUUGCAACAUUUAAAUCCAGCUAGUUUGUUUGAUGCAGUGAAUAUUUUGUGUUGGUAAAUGUCCUGUUCUCGUAACUUUCUUUAGGCGCUAUUAAUAAUAAAAUAUUGUGAUUAUGGGUACAAUUUCUGUGGCAUGGUCAUAAUAAAUAAAUCCCAACUCAAGUGUGCAUUUCACACGACUUGACCUCAACUUCAAAUAAUAAUAAAGUAAAUAUGUUGUAAGUUGUGGGUGUGUUUCACGUGACGCUAUUUGCAAUAUGUACAAAAACAAUGAGUACGCGACAUCGCGACUUAUUCAAAUAAAUUCCAUAUACACUAAAAGGCGAUUAAAUUAAUUGAAAGUGGUUAGAAGUUAAAAAUGCACAAUAUGUUUAAAUAUAUAUUAAAUCAGAUAAUUAGGCCAAUUAUUGAUAGUCGAGCGACCGUGCUAAAAUCACGGAAUCCGGGAAUGCCUAACACCUUCUCCUGGGUUAACAGAAUUCCUUACACGGUCUUCUAGUUUUUGCGGACUUUAAAACAGAGUCAAACUUCCUCGAUCUGGAAUUUAAAAUAACCGGUGACUUGAGACACCAUAAAUUAUUCCAAAUGGCAACUCUGAAUUAGAUCAAUAAUCUCAUUUCGAAUAAUGUCACUUUAAUUGGAAAAACUCGAGCAUUCCUUCGAAAAAAAAGGUGUGACAGCUCAGGCAACUCUGCUGGGGAACAAACCCAAAAUCUCUGGUUCAAGGUUCAGAAUUCGAACUUAGAAUACUGUUAUACUUGGCUUUUAUUUAUUAUCUGAUAUUUAUGUGUUUGAGCCUAAUGUGCAAAAUGCCCUUUUUUUACCGCUUUGAUAUUGUUUGAACUGUAUGUUUCUCCGGCUUUGAUAUUCUCUCUGAGCCUAAUGUGCAAAAUGCCCUUUUUUAUCGCUUUUAUGUUUCUCCCAGUAUGUUACCCCCUCCCCGGCUCGAAUUGUCCGUUCGGGUAAGCCAGGUCUCGAACAAUACACCCCAGGGUUCAAACCUUGAAUGGCAUCACCUCAUGCCGGAUCCCUAGUAGGUAUGUUUGUUUGCAUUACGUGCAUUUGACUUUGGGGACUCAACACAGGGGUUGGGUCCGUCUAGGACAGGUGUACCCAGAUUUAAAAGAUCAUCCUGAUGUAUUUUACGUGCUACUUGUGCAUUUAUUUGUUUCGGCUUGCUUAUUGACCGGCUUCUAGAAUAAGGAAAGAAAAUCAAGAAAAACCAAGAGUGAGGUAGUAGAGAAAAAUUUACCCGGUUAUGAAAAACCCAAGUAUUUGAAAAUCCCAAAACUCUGCCGAAAUUUUGAAGAAAAAAAGAGAAAGAAAGAAAAUAUCAUUUCAAAAUAAGUCAUAUUUUCUUAUUGUGUCAAAACUGGCCGAACUACGCGGGUCUGAUUCUCACCGGAUGUGAGAUACAUAGGCAAACCUCAUCAGUUCCGAACCCAAUUUUCAAAAAUACAAAAAUAUUUUUCUUUAAUUUCUUCUUUAGAAGUAUUUCCUUAGAAAAUCCCAAAUAAAAAAAAUUAUAAAAACCAAAACAUAUUUUCUUUCUUUUUAGAAGUCUUUCAUUCGAAAAGAAAAUCAAAUAAAAAAUCAAAUCAAAAUCCAAAAAUAAGUUUUUCCUUCUUUAGAAGCCUUUCUCCGAAAAAAUAAAAAUUAAAAUUUUCUUUCUUCUUUAGAAGUCUUUCUUUUCAAAAAUUCUCAAAAAAACAAACAAACAAAUCAAAUUCCAAAAAUAAUUUUCUUUCUUCUUUAUAAGUCUUUCUUUCAGAAAUUUAAAAAAAAAAUCAAAAUCCAAAAAAAGAGUUAGCUUAUUUCCUUUUUUCUUGAUCUUCCCAAACUACGCAAGAUCUAAUUCAUGUUUUCAUAUGAUACGUAUGGAAACCAUAUCAGGUUUGAUCGACCAUUUAAAAAAAAGUGUCAAAAAAAAUGAUAAUGAUGAUGAUAAUAAGGACCGAGUGAGUCCAUUUUAAUGUGUUCUUUGUUUUGAAUGGUGAAGAAAGUUUGAGGUGGUCAGUUUGUGGUAAGCUACAACACAUCCAUAAUUCACAAGAUCCAAGAGAGAAAUGCCAAUGACAACUGACAUUGAAGUUGUUACGAGUGGUCAAGAGACCCAGGGUCAGAGGGUUCAACAAGCGUCUAUUGUGAUUGAGGAAAAUAGAAAACUGAAACAGCAAAUGACUGAAAUGUGUCAAGCAUGGGCCAAUGGCCAAGGACCGCCCUUUUCUAUUCAUGGUUUUCCAGAGUUCACAUCCAUCUCGACUACUACCAUUCCAGUCUCAUUGUCUGAUCAAUCCUAUCCACCUGGGUUCAGUCUUUAUCCCAACUAUAUGACUACAACUGGAACUUCUGUUGCGCAUUCGCAAAGUGUGCCAUUGACAACCAAUCAGACAACCACUACUGCUAUGCCCGUCUUCACCAUCCCACAACCGAUAAUGAUACAGAAGAAAAGUCAUGAGUCACAAUUUGCUACCCAGCAAGAACAGUACCACUCAUACCUAUUUGAUCUUUCUACAAAGAUUGAGAUGCCUGCCUAAAAGAGUGCACAGGAAGAAAUAACCCAAAAAUGAAAAGCUUAGAACAACAGCUGAAAAACAUGCAAGGGUUGGCAGGUCAGAAUAGUAUUUCCUUCAAGGAUCUAUGUAUGUUCCCCGAUGUCCACUUGCCACCUGGUUUCAAGACUCCUAAAUUUGAAAAGUAUGAUGGACAUGGAGACCCCGUAGCCCACCUGAAAAGUUAUUGCACUCAACUAAAAGGUGCGGGAGGAAAGGAAGAAUUAUCGAUGGCUUAUUUUGGGGAAAUCCUUAUGGGGGUAGCCUCUGAAUGGUUUAUGGAUCAAGACACAUCUCGCUUAUAUGUCUAGGAUGACAUGGCCCAGGCCUUUGUCAAACAGUUCUAAUACAACAUCGACAUCGCUCCAGACCACAAUUCCCUUUCAAACCUGAAGAAGAAACCAACUAAAAGUUUCAGGGAAUAUGCCAUUAAAUGGAGAGAGUAAGCGGCUAGAGUUAAGCCACCCAUGGAUGACCAUAAGCUAAUCAUUGUCUUCCUUCAGGCUCAAGAGCUAGAUUAUUUUCAAAACAUGAUGACCGCAGUUGGCAAAUCCUUCUCGGAAGCAAUCAAAAUUGGGGAAAUGGUUGAGAAUGGCCUUAAGACAGGCUGAAUUAUAAGUCAAGCAGUUCUCAAAGCCGCAACUCAGGCUGUCCAGAUUGAAUCUGCUAAUUUUAGUGACACGAAUGAGAAGGAUGAAGAAACCAUGAUGAUAGCAGGGCUGAGAAGAGGUCCUAGGAGAACAUCUCGAAGGUAUGACCAGCCUCAUCUGUUUUUCAAUGAUUCCAUUGAGCACUACUAUCCCCCUUAGAACCCACAAUACUCUGUUACUCCACUUCAGUAUGUUGUCCAGCCACCAAAACACCCUAGAAGGCGAGCACGAGCAUCACAAAAUAUCCACCAGCCUCCACAAAAUUUUCAAGUCCCCUAUAACUCACAUCCAAGCCAUGGGUAUAAAGGGGAACAAAGGUUGAAAGAUAAUUUUACACCUAUAAGAGAGUCCUAUGCAGGCUUGUUUGAGAAAUUAAAGCAUUAUGACAUGAUUUCACCCAUUCCUCUAAAUUAUGUACACCCACGUGCAAGAAGCUUUGACCCUUCUAAAAGGUGUGAAUACCAUUCCAAUGCCCUAGGGCACAAUAUUGAAAGCUGUCGGGAUUUGAAAAGAGAAAUAGAAAUGAUGAUCCAGGAAAAACUGAUUGUGAUCCAAGACAGUGACACCCAGAAUAUUGUGGAGAAUCCUUUGUCCGCACAUGAUGAUGCACACUUUGUAGGGAUGACACGUGGUGACAUGGAGUAUGAGAAUCCUCUCGGGAACUUGUCGAUUGAGGUUAAUGAGUUUGAAAUUGGAGAAGGUCCUGGUGAUUCAGAUGAGCAAAUUUGUGGCUAAAUGUUAAGCUUAGCAAUUGAAAAGUCAUUCCCCUUCCCUAGGAAGGAAUCUUGGUAGCUUGUUUUGAUGUUUUCUCUAUUAUCUAGGUUAUUUCAAGAUUUUUUAUGUUUUAUUGAGUCAAACCCUUCCAUCCCUCUAUUUUGUUUGUGUGAGUCUUGUCUGUUUGUUCUGUUGCUAUUUUUAUUAUCUGGGUUAUUUUAGGGUUAUAACUCGGAUUUUAGGUUGUUUGUCUUGUUGUCCAACUUUCCAUCCUUUACUCAAUGAAAUACAGUUUGUCCUUUUGUGUCAUUCUGUAUUUAAUUUUUUUCCUACUAGUUCUAGUGACAUGCAUGAGAAAUUUUUGGCCAGAUCCUAGAAAACUGAUUUAGUCUUGAAUUGGAUAACUGAAAAAAGACAUUUUUGAGGAUGAAUAAAGAGUCGAAACACUUUGGAAUUAAGCUCGAGUAAAAUUCAUGUGGAACUAGAAUACUCAUACACAUGGAGGUUAAUGAUCUUUACCUUCAAAUCAUUGUGAAGGUCGGGUUUGAGGAAGAAUCAAUUGAAGUUUGUUGAAAAAUUUGACAUUAAUGGAUGGAAAGUAUCUUUCAACCACGACAUACCAAGAAGAUAGACAUAUUCAUCAAUGCUGUGAUCGUGAAAGGAUACUAUGUUUGGCAUUCUCGAGGUUGGCAGACCCUUUUUCUUCUAUCCAAAUACUUUAUACCUUUCAUUACCCUUUUUUGCGCCUAUGUUUUUUCUUUGACCAUCCUCUUUUGGAAUCAAGUUUAGAGUUAAAAGUGCAAAAAAUAAAAAUAAAAAUAAAUGAAAUAAAAGUCCAUGCCCCAAGAUACAAACUGGGGCAACUCUUAGAAAGUUCAAGUGAAAAAAAAAGAAGAAGAAAAGAACAAUCAACGUCCUUGCCACCAGAAAAUAAAAGUUGGGGCAAGAUGUUUUGAAAACAAAAAAAGACAGAAAAACAUAAAGAAAGAUGAAAAAAUUAGUUCGGUCAGAUGUUUGAACUACAUUUGACUUGAUUCCUUUGAAAAAGGAUGCAUCGGCAGCCUUACACGGUUCGGUCCAACCAAAUAAAAACCAAAUAAGAAUUCAUUAAAAAAAAAUAAAAAGAUAAAAAAAAUCCAGUAUCUAAAACUGGGGCAUGAGUUUGUUUUAGUUUUUGAAAGAGUCGAUUCCAAGAGUUGUAAGUGUACAACCCAUCAUUAUGAGUCUACUUUGAGCCGUCAUGCCUUCCCUUCUUUCUAACCCUAUCGAAAAACCUUCCAAAUAAAGAUGUCUCGAUAUGCCUUCAAGAAUACGAAGAGAAACAUGCAAUGAGCAAUAGUUGUCAAGAACACUAUCAAGUUGCUCACAAAAAAAGAAUGAAAUGAAAAGAAGAAAAAAAUAAGAGUCUUACUAGUGAAAACUCUCACGGGCACCGUAAAGUGACGGUAAGUAGAGAUAAAUAAAUGGGAGAGACUUAUUGGUGAAAACCCCUCGAGGCAACACUAGUCGAAAGUGAGUCAUGAAGCUGAUGCAAAGAAUUUGCAUGAACAAGCCCGACUUCAAAGGUCGUAAGAGUGGUAAAAGGGAAGAUUUGAUCAGUUUGAUAGAUUAAUCCAUUAAGUCAAAAAUGCAUGUCAUGAUCAUUGAGGCUAGUUAUUGAAUAAGAAAAAAACUCUUCCUUUUGUCCUUCCCGACAGGGGCAUUUCUUGUUAAUACUGUUUCUUUGCAUUAUUGUGUCCCUUCACUCUGAGUCAGUCCUUGUCAAAACAAGCAAGAAAAGAUUUCAAAAUCUGCUGCCACCAUUUCAGUGCACAAAUUAAAUUUAGCCAGCACACUCAGUUGUUACAGUCUACAUGCCUUGAGGAUUCAUGCAAAGGUUCCCCCUCAAAAGACUUUUGCCAACCUACUUGGCUAAAGCAAGCAAAGAUAACCUCAAGGCUAAUAAGGGAUUCUCUGUAGUAUCGAACAAGGACUAUGAAGUGUGCACAUCGUACAAAAGGCACUUACCAGUUGUGAUUCUCUUUGACAAACAGGUUGCUCAAAAAUUAAAAAGCCGUUCAAGAUAUCAGAAAAGCUCGCCUAAGCAAAGAUCUCAGUUGGGAUAAGGCUGAUUGAGCCACAAAUAAAAUUGGUACUAGGUGUGAACCAAUCAGGGCUGAUACAGAGCAAAAGUCUCUUGAAAGCAACAACAAAGUCUCCCAGCAGUGCAGCCAACUACCAAUACAGGUGGUCUUCCAGAAGCGAAUAGGUACAAUGCCAAGCUGCCAAGGACAUCAAGGCCACAAACCGACCACUUUUAAAACUGACAAAAUUUUCUUUAUCUCAAACAGAACAAAGCAGUGCAAGGAAAGUGGUUCAAAAAAAAGAAGAAAAAAGAGAAACAAAGAAAAAAAGAGAAAAGAAGAGAAGAGAAGAGCCGACAAAUGGAAGUUUCUCAAAUCUUUGCCUUUAUUUGUCUUGCUAGUAUGCAUAAAAUUUUGUCAUUGCUCUUCACAUUUUUUCCUCCUAGGGUAAUACGUCCUAGUGUGAUGGAUUUUCCUUCCAAUAAAUAUCUUAGUCUGAUGAAUCUUUCUCCUAAGAUAAAAGACCCUAGUCUGAUGAACUUUCUCCUAGGAUAAAAAUCUUAGUUUGAUAAAUCUUUAUCCUAAGAUAAGAAAACCUAGUCUGAUAAACUUUCUCCUAGGACAAAAAUCUUAGUCUGAUGAAUCUUUCUCCUAAGACAAAAAUUCUUAGUCUGAUAAAUCUUUCUCCUAAGAUAAAAAGCCCUAGUCUGAUGAACUUUCUUCUAGGAUAAAAAUCUUAGUCUGAUAAAUCUUUUUUCCUAAGAUAAGAGACCUAGUCUGAUGAAUUUCUCCUAGGAUAGAAGUCUUAGUCUGAUGAAUCUUUCUCCUAAGAUAAUAAAUUAGAAAGCCUAGUCUGAUGAAUUUUCUCCUAGGAUAGAAGUCUUAGUCUGAUGAAUCUUUCUCCUAAGAUAAAAAGCCCUAAUCUGAUGAACUUUCUCCUAGGAUAAAAAUCUUAGUCUGAUGAAUCUCUCCUAAGAUAAGAAAACCUAGUCUGAUGAAUUUUCUCCUAGAAUAGAAGUCUUAGUCUGAUGAAUCUUUUUCGUAAGAUAAUAAAUUAGAAAACCUAGUCUGAUGAAUUUUCUCCUAGGAUUGAAGUCUUGGUCUGAUGAAUUUUUCUCCUAAGAUAAUGAUGAUGAUGAUGAUAAUAAUAAUAAUAAUGAUAAUAAUAAUAAAAAGAAGAAGUCUAGAUUUUUUUUAAAAAAGGUAUCAGUUUUAGUUUCCUUAAGUCAUUAAUCUUUAGUAGUCAGAAAUGCCCCUCUACUAUCAAAUAUUAUUUAAAGUUACCCUUCGUUAUACUAAUCGAUCAAAAUUGUCCUUACCGUCUUACUAUUAAACAUAUUUACCACUCAUUUGACGGAAGGGACACAUGGCAGCCUUCUAGAUAUUUCUAAUACCCAACCAACUGCCCAUACUGGAUACCCAGUAUCCAUGAUUCUACACCUGAUCCAUCCUCAGACUUAAUCACUUAAAACCUCGUCUCUUUCUCUUAUUUUAUCUCCUAAACAAGAGAAGCUCAUUCCUCCAUGACUCUCCACUCUAUGACUAGGUGCUUUCAAAUUUCUUACAAAUUGAAUCGUUUUGUUUCGGAGUAUAGGCUAAGAAAUUGCUUUAAGCAUUCCUUAUUUAUUGCCUUGAUUUCCAAAUCAGAAAUUACAAAAAAGAAGAAGAAGGAAAUUUUGUGUUGUUGGAUGCUUGAAAAUCCAAAAAUUAGUUUGAUUGUUUGGAGCUGCUCAUUGAGUCAGAAUUUAGUAACUAAUUUGAAGAACUAGGUAAAAAAAGUCGAACUCCAACUGAUGGGUUUUUAAGUUUUCAAAGUUGGAACAAUUUUUUUUUUUGGUAAUUAAUUGACUUUAUUUACCAAGUAAAGUAUGUACAAGAAUCAAACGAACAAACACCCCACUGGACAUGCAGCCCCAGUUUGGGUCUUUCUACACUUCUACUUUCCUACUUUCCUAUCUACUAUCAUUGUUCCAUUGUAUCCGGGUACCAGUUUGCUUUGGUCAUAGUCCUUUCUAACCUAGGAAACAUGGUGGCUCUUAAGUGGAUUUCCUGAAUGAUCUUCCUGACUAUGCUUGCUGCUGUUCUCUUUUCCUGUUUGAAAAUGACAUUGUUUCUUUCCUGCCAUAUAUAGUAAACUGCAGCAGCUAGAGUCAUUCUGCAUAGAGCUGCUCCUUCACUUCUUCCUUUUGCUACUCUUUGUAUCCAUGUCAGCUCUUCUUGCCAUUUCAACUUCUUCCUCUGUAUUCCUUGCCAAUGUAGCAGUUGUUGCCAUAUUGUUCCUGUCAUUUCACAUUCAAUGAAUAGAUGCUGGACUGUUUCAAUCCCUUGUUGGCAUAGUGCACAUGUGGUCUCUAUAUUUACUCCCCAUCUUGCUAAUCUUUCCUUUGUUACUAGUCUUUCCAGAAUUGCAAGUCUCAAUUUGAAUAUCUAUUUUGGCUUCCCAUAGUUAUUGUAUAUUACUUUCCUCCAACCUACCUUCUGAAACCCCCAUGCAUGGCUUUAUACAUUUGUUUGAUUGAGAAGCUAUCUAUCCUCUGCACCUCUUGUUCAGUGUAGCCAACAUUUUCAAAAUACUUCUUUGCUUUGAAGAUCUGUUGAAUGACCCAAGAUGCAUUCUUUGGUGUUGUGCUCCAUAUUGUAUUCCCUUUUAUGUAGUAAGCAUUUACCCAUUGUAUCCAUAACUUUUUCUUUUGCUUGCAUAUGUUCCAUAAUAAUCUGCAAAUUGCAGCUUUUUCCAUAGUUCCACAUUAGUGAAGUUCAAACCACCUGCAACUCUUGGACAGCACAGUUUCUCCCAAGCUAUCAAUGCCUUCCUAGUAGGCUAUGUGUUCCCUGACCAUAGAAACCUUCUACAUAUUGUUUCAAUGAACUGAAUAAUCUUCUUUGACAAUAUAAAGAUCUGAGCCCAAAAAUUUUGAAUUGCAGUCAAGACACUCUUUAUAAGCAUAACUCUCCCUGCAUAUGACAGGAAUUUUGUUGUCCAGCAUUGUAUUUUGUUCAGCAUCCUGUCAAUCAAAGGUUCACAUUGGAUAAUUGAUAGCUUCUUUGUGCUUAAAGGUACCCCUAAGUAUCUGAAAGGUAACUCUCCCUUGUUGUAUCCCUGUAUAUCCAUAAUCUUCCCUUGGUUCACAAGAUCGACUCGUCCAAAGUAUAUGCAGCUCUUGUUUUGGUUUGCAGUUAGUACUGAUGCCUCGGAAAAGGUUUUGAAUUGUUGAUGCAUUUCCUUGACUGAUUGUAUAUCUCCCCUGCAAAAAAGUAACAAAUCAUCAGCAAAACCUAAGUGUAAUAGAUUGACUUUAGCACACUUAGGGUGGUACUUGAAUUCUUUGUUCCCCUUUAAGUUUUUCAAUAGUCUGCUCAAGUAUUCCAUUGCUAUCACAAACAGUACAGGAGAUAAUGGGUCACCCUGCCUAAGCCAUUUCCUUGCUUCAAAAGGUUUUGCUGGUUGCCCAUUGAUGAUUAUUGUAUAGUGCACAGUACUGAUGCAUUUCAUUAUCCACCUUACAAACAAUUCAGGGAAUCCCAGUAAUUUCAUCAUUUGCUCUAUAUAUAUCCACUCCACAGAAUCAUAAGCUUUCUGCAUAUCAAUUUUCAGCAUACACCUUGGUGAUAUGUUUUUCCUUCCAUAGACUUUAACCAGCUCAUGGCUCAUGAUGAUGUUAUCAACUAUCAUUCUCCCAGGGACAAAAGCAGUUUGGCAUUUUUCUAUUAAUUCUGGCAUGACUUCCUGUAAUCUUGUUGUUAGGAUCUUGGAAAUUAUCUUAUAUAGCAUUGUACAGCAGGAAAUAGGCCUAAACUCCUUGAUAUUUGUUGGGUUCUUCACUUUAGGGAUCAAAGUAAUAGUAGUGCAGUUUAUAGCUUUGCACAAAUCUAUACUUUCAAAGAGUUCCAGUACUGCUGAUGUGAUAUCCUCUCCUGUUAUGCUCCAUGUCCUCUUGAAAAAAUAGGCAUUAUAUCCAUCACACCCUGGUGCCUUGCUAUCAUUUAUACCCUUCAAAGCUAUCAGUACUUCUUCCUUUGUGACUGGCUUUAUUAUCUGCAAUUGUUGUUCCCUGCUCAGCAUAUUCCCACUCCUUAUUAUAUCUGGAUUCACUACUGGUAAAGUAGAUGCUGCUGUACCUAGUAAUACUUUAUAAAACUGUAGGAUUUCCUCUUCAACCUCCUUUGUGUUAUGCAGUAUGUGCCCUUCAUUAUUUGUAAGUCUUCCAAUAUGAUUCCUUGCCUGUCUGUUUUUCACACAAGCAUGAAAAUAUGCUGUGUUGGAGUCCCCCUCUUUUAGCCACUUGACUCUAGCCUUUUGUUUCAGUAUGCUUUCCUCUACUUCCAUCCAUUUAGUCAGCUCCAUUUUAGUCUUCUUUUCUACAUCAAUGACUGCACUAUCAUUCUUUGGAGAUUGCAUACUUUGUUGCAUCUGUGUCAGUUUAUUUUUUGUUUCUUUUAUUUUAUCCCCCACACUCUUGUAUUCUUGAUUGUUUAACUUCUUCAGUUCACCUUUCAUUGCUUCAAGCUUGUACCAAACCUUUUGCAUCUUGUUGCCCAUAUGUUCCCUCCUCCAGCAGUGCUUCACUAUUUCCUCAAACUUCUGGUGGUUAGCUAGGCAGUUAAAAAACUUGAAAGGUCUCUUUACCUGUACAAUAUCUUCAGCCAUAGUUAUCAUCAAUUGGCAGUGAUCAGAAAAUUCAAGUUGUUUGAUGAUCCCCUCCAUUUGAGGUCGCUUUUGUAUCCAUUAUGCAUUGACUAAGAUUCUAUCAAUUCUACCGUGCACUGUGUUAUUUGUCCAUGUGUAGUAUCUACCUAUUGUUCUCAUUUCAGACAAUCCAGCCUCCUCUACAAAGUUUUUAAAGUCUCUCACUUCCACAUCUUGUACUGGGUUACCUUGUACUCUAUCUUCAAUGGACAUUAUUCUAUUGAAAUCCCCCAUUAGAACACUUGGCCACUUUACUCCAUUCAUUAUCCCCUUGAGCUCAUUCCACAUACUCUUCCUAUCUUGGAUGUUAUGUUUACCAUAUACUGCAACAAACAAAAAGUUACUGUUACAUUGCCUUAUAGUUAUCUGCCCUGCUAUGUAUUGAUCAUGCACUUGUUUGACUUCAAACUCCACUCUUGCCUGAUCCCAGACAAUCCAUAUUCUCCCACCUGGUGCUACUUCAUAAUUUGUUAUCCACUUCCAGUCUCCAAAUAUUUUCCUCAUUAUUGUAUCAACCCUACUUUCUUUAACUCUAUUUUCCAGAAUUGCUAUCAUUGCUACAUUAUUCUCCUUAUAGAAAAUUUUUAGUAGUUUUUGCUUAUACACCUUAUCCAUGCCCCUUACAUUCUAUGUUAUAAUGUUUGUCAUGCUAUAUUUGUUGUUUUGGAAUUAUCUUUACUACCUUGUCUGCUCCUCCUGCUUCUCACCUCUUGUUCUUCAGAGAAUAACAUUAUUUUCUGGGCAGUGUCAACAAGUAUUUUAAAUGCAUUGCCUAUGUUGACUUCCUCUCCCCUUUUGGCUCCCAUUUGUUUUUUUGAUGCAGACCUUCCACUAGCAAUCUGCCAUUAAUUACCAUCAUCUUGUUGUUUUGGUGCUAAUUCUUCUUCUAUUUCAAGCUGCUCUUUGAACCUUCCUUGUCCAUCUAUCCUAUCCACCUUUGGAUCAAGCUUCCUUACAAUUUUCCAUUACUGCUUGGGCUUCUGAUUAUUUAUCCUCUGUUGUCCCUCUUCAUUAUGUUGUUUCUGUUGCUCCUUACAUGAGUGGCCAAGUUGACAACAUUCUUGGCAGUAUUGUGGCUUCCAAUCAUAUUGCACAAUCUGAUCAAUCUUCUUCCUAGUAGGGUCACAUAGUUUUAUUGAUCCUGGUAAAGGCCUAGUAAUAUCCAUCUCAAUUAGGACUCUUGCAUAUACAACUCUAUCAGUCAUAGUUGUACAUGCAUCAACAUAUAGAGGUUUACCUAACCCACUCCCAAUCUUGCUUAGAGCCUUAUUACUCCAGUAACUAAGUGGCAGUUUAGGAAAUUUCACCCAUAGUGGGAUAGUUCUGAGGAUUUUAUCCUCAAAAUCAAACCCCUCCUUCCAUUGCCUAAUGAUAAUUGGUCUAUUAUUCAUUGUGUAUGGUCCAUUCAUCAUAACAUCAUCCCUUUCUUCAAUACUAUGCAUCAAUACAAUGAAAUAGCCAUCGCUAUGGAACAAUACCUUCGGCUUCUUAAUUUUCCCCCAUUGUUGAGCUAUACAUCGCUCAACUGCUCCAAUUGUUGGGGUGUUUCCCACAAUAUAUAAAAUUAAUGCUCUACUCUAUUUCUGUUGCUCCUCCUCUAUGUCAUCUUCCAACAAUUGUACCACUACCUCACCAUCUUGUACCACUGGUGGAAUAUAUGAGAGAUUCAUUCCUUUAGCAGCUAGUUUGUUCUCAAUAAAUAAUCCAGCCCACGAUCUUCCCCCAGCUCCCUGCGUUUGCUUCUCCUGCAUACCCUUCUCAUUUCCUUGUGCUUUGUUACUCUAUUCCAUAGUUACCUUUGAAUUUACUGUUCCAUUGCUUGGAUUUUUGCUCGAACUUGCCUCUUCAGCUCUGAUCUUCCCUGCAUGUGUGUUUUUUGCGCCAGAGUUCAUCAUUGGUGUCACUCUGGUCACUGUCUUCUCUGGUGUUUCCAAUUUCAGCUGAGCGGUGCUCAGAUCUGGCCAGUUCAUUUCACUAUCACUUUCUAUAUCUGGGUCAUCUUCUUCGUUCACUUUCUCUUUAGCUUUUCCUGAUUGCUUUCCUUGUUCCUUAACGUUGAUACUCGUGAAUUUGCUAGUGUUUUUCCUUGGUCGCCCACUUCCUCCCAUUUUCCGACGAGGCACAGGUUAAAGCACUUAACGUACGCCGAGAGAGAAAGGUGACUUUUCUCAAUGUUCUCUCAACAAAAAUUAUUAAAGUGUUGAAUUAUUCUACUGAAAUAAUUAUCUGGGUCUGUUUUGUUGAGCUAAUAUCUAAGAUUAACUAUUGAUUAUUAGCUUGGUUAAAGAAGAUUUGCAAUUAAAAGAGCUGUUGGGUUCCUUGUUGAAUCGGAUUUGAGGUUCAAAAAAAUAUCUUCACUUUGCAAGUCGAAAAAUCCAAGCAACUAAGCGUGAAAAAUUCUGUUUUUGUGAUUGAAAAUUCAAAAUUGAAGGAUUUGAUAGUAGUUUGCAGUUGAGCAUUAAUCAAAUUCUAAUUUAUGAUUGUUGUUGAGAAUUGCGGUUGCAAAUAUCACUAUGAAUUUGGAGUUUUUUGAACUUGAAUUGUCUAUAUUGAAAUUCUUUAAACAUUGUUGCUUGAGAAUUGGAUCAUGGUUUUAUAUAUGCUUAAAUCGAGGAGACUAGCUACUACUCGUUGUAAGAGUUUAGUGCUAAAUUUAAGGGCCACCAUUUUUGAACACAUCCAUAUUUUGGAUGAAGGAGUUUUUGUUAUGAAGGAGAUGAGAUAGGCAAGGAUGGGUCGGGUUUAGGGUUAUGGAUAUCGGGUAUCCAAUAUGGGCAAUUGAUUGCGUAUUAAAAAUGUUUAGAAGGCUGCCACCUUCCGUCAAAUGAGGGGCAAAUAUAUUCAAUAGUAAGAUGGUAGGGGCAAUUUUGAUCGAUUAGUAUAACAGAGGGUAACUUUAAACAAUAUUUGAUAGUAGAGGGAUAUAUCUGACCCUUUUUCGUAGUUUUUUUAAGUGUUAAUCUUUAGUUUUUCUUAAGUUCAGGGGUCCCGCCUGGAAAAUAUGGUCAGUUUUUAGUUUUCUUAAGUCAUUAAUCUUUAGUUUUCCUUAAGUUCAGGGGUCCCGCCUAGAAAAUAAGGUCAUUUUUAGUUUCUUUAAGUGUUAAUCUUUAGUUUUUCUUAAGUUCAGGAGUCCCGCCUGGAGAAUAGGGUCAGUUGUUAGUUUCCUUAAUUUGUUAGUCUUUAGUUUUCUUAAGUUUCCCGGGGUCCCGCUUGGAAAAUAGGGCCAGCUUUAGUUUUCGUAAGUCGUUAAUCUUUAGAUUUCCUUGAAUCCAGGGGUCUCGCCUGGAAAAUAGGGCCAGUUUUUAAUUUUCUUAAGUUAAUAGUCUUUAAUUCCCUUAAGUUUAGGGGUCCCGCCUGGAGAAUAGGGUCAAUUGUUAGUUUCCUUAAGUUUUUAGUCUUUAGUUUUUCUUAAAGUUCAGGGGACCCCGCCUGGAGAAUAGGAUCAAUUUUUAGUUUAGUCAAGCUUAGUUUAUAGUUUUCCUUAAGCUCAAUCUCACAGGAGACGCACAUCCUAGUCGAAUCUUUAGUUUUUAGUUUUACUCUCAUCAUAUCAUCUUUCACCAAUAACAUAGGUGAUUUACAACUUUGCUAAUAACUCACGAGAUUUUCCUAGGGAAAACUGGGGUAAAAAAAUUUUGUUCGUUUGUUCUGCUUUGGUGUCUGAGCAAGUUUUACCUCAAGGCACAAGGUUCGAGAUGACCAAAAGAAGAAGUCUCAAUCCAGAAUAAAAGAAAAGAAAAAAAAGAAGUGAAUCCAAAAUGCAAAAGCAGAUGAAAGAUGUGAACUGCUCAAGACAUGGUUGAAGUCAAGAGGAUUGCAUUCCCCAUUUUUAUCAAAAGAAGCCGUAGAAGAAUUAACUAGCACCUACAACUAACAAGCAUCAAGGUUCAAAUCAAAAGUCUGCAUAAAGAACUAUUCAAGAUUCAAGAUCAAGCUUCAGAAGACUUAUAGAUAGGAAUCUUGUAACUCAUAGCUGAUAGAUUUAUUCAAUUCAUUUAGAUUUUAAUUUUGAUGUAAUAAUAGGACCACAGACCAGAGUCUUGACGGAACCUUACUCGACUCUCCAACUCAUCAUUCCAUUAUUCUCCUUAAACUACACGCGACCUGAUUCCCUUAUAACCCGGGAUAUGUAGGCUGUCCAAAAUCAGGACUCGACUGCACUCUCUUCUCUUUUCUUUGUUUCUUCCUUUUUGAAUAAUGGUAUGGUCAAAAAUUAGUCAUACGACACACCUCGUCUUUGCCUGAAAACUCUUCAUUUUUUCAAGCAAAGAUGGGCAUGCUGUGAGUACCUAACUUUUUACCAUAUUUAGAUUUUUAUCACUUUCAGUAUUUUAAUAGUUUUUAAGUUUAAUCUUGAUAUUUUAUCUUGUAUUUCACCUUUUUAUAGUUUUUAUUUGAUAAAAAGUGAAAAUCACAAAAAAAGAAAGAAGAUUUAAUUUGGACUAGUUCUCCUAAAGUCUUGCUUUGUUCAAAUGUCCAAAUCAUGACCCAAAUUGGGCAAAAACCUGAACCCAAUAGCCAAAAGCCCAUUUUUUUUCUAGCCCAAUCCCCUAACCCUAAGCCCCUUGCCUACUAUAAUGACCUGACCGAUCGUUUUGCUUUCGAGAACCCCGUUCCCAUGAAUAAGACUUCAUAUACGUGCCUACUGUUUUAUGACUUGUUGGAUGGUUAGUUCGGGAUUUGGAAGGUUUCGAGUUGAAAUCGGAACACUUGGUUCCUAAAGGUUGGCUAAAAAGACCAAAUUUGACUUCGGUCAAUAUUUUGAGUAAACAACUUCGGAAUCAGGAUUUGUCGGUUCCAAUAUGUUUGUAUAAUAAAUUUGGACUUAUGCGUAUGUUCGAAUCGGGUUUUGGAUGACUCGGGAGCGUUUUGGCGCUUAAUAGUGAAAGUUGGUUCUUUGAAGAUUUUGGAAGUUCUUUAUAUUUGGUUUGGAGCGGGUUUUGGUGAUAUCGAGUCCAAAUGGAAUUCUGAGAUCGAGAAUAGUUCUGUAAUGUUAUUUAAGAUUUGAACACAAAAUUUUGGUGUCAUUCCGAGUAGUUUAAGUACGUUUCGGUGCAUUGGAAGUAAAUUAAAGAACUUGAAGUUCAUAAGUUUGAUUCAAUUUGUUUUGGGGUAUGUUUCUUAGUUUUAAUGUUAUUUCGGGCAUUCCAAGAGUUCGAGCGAGUCCGUUUUAUGAUUCCAAACUUGUUGGUAUGUUCGGGCAGGGCCCCGGAGGCCACAAGUGUCAAUUGGAUGAGGCUCAGACCAAGUUGGAAACUUGGAGAAACAGGUGAAGCUUCAACUGCUGUCAUAAUCGCACCUGCGCUUGGCCAGCCGCAGGUGCAAGCUCGCAGAAGUGACCAAGGAAGAGCAGCCCAGGACCUGCAGGUGCACCCCAACCUCCGCAGAAGUGGGAGCCCGUCCGCAGAAGCGGAGCCAGCCUGCCUAGGGACUUUCGCAGAAGCCGACUUUUGUCCGCAGAAGCGAUGGAGUAGGUGUGGCCCCAAGACCGCAGGUGCGGAAUCGCUGAGGUAGUGAGCUUGUUUUAAAUACGGGACUUAGGCAUUUUUCUCCCAUUUUUCACUCAUUUGGGCGAUUUUAGAGCUUCAAAAAGGGAGAUUUCAACCUAGCUAUCGAAGGUAAGUAAUGCCUACCUAAUGUGAGUUUAAUACAUAUGGUAUAUUAAUAUGUAAAUUUGUGGAGUUCACGGGUUAGAUGGAAAACAUAGGUUUUUGAUAAAAAUGCGAUUUAACCACGAAAUUUGUUAUGGAAUUUGGUAAAAAUCAUAUAUUUAAGAUCAUGAGGUUGUGGGUGACAACUUUCUUCGAGAAUUUCCGGAAUUCGGGCACGUGGGCCUGGGAAUAAAUUUUAGGAACCUUACAUUUAGGGUUGGGUAAUCACUUAAAUAGUUAGGAUAUGAACUUUUGAACAUAUAUUGAUUAGUUUAUACACUAUUUGAAUAGCUUUGGAUUGUUCGGCACCGAUUUGAGGGUUUGAGCAUAAUCUUUGACCGAAAAGUAGACUUUGAAACGAGGUAAGUCUCUUUUCUAACCUUGUAUGAGGGAAUUAACCCCAUAGGUAAAUUAUAACUAACAUGUGCUCCUAUGUGUGGGGCAUACGUACGCACGAGGUGACGAGAGUCUAUAUGUACCUACUAAUUAUGCUAUUAUCCAAGUAAUCUAGGAUCCAUACCAUGCUAUACUUGAAAUGAUUGCACCCCUACUUGUUGAUUUAAUUGAUUAAGUCAUAUUUGAAGUUUAUAAAAGAAUUAUAAAAGGUAAAAUUUCGCUUACUUGAAGUUGUGAAUGGAACACUUGACUAUAAAUGAGAAUUUAUAUUUUAUUUGAAAUAUUAUCUAUUUGUGGAGCGGGCCAAACGUCUCGAUAGCAGAUAGAUACAUCUGUGGUUCGUAUCGUUCGACCCUCAACAGUGUACAAUUAAAUAUUAUGUUGGAUUGGGCCGUAUGGCCUCGACAUAAAUUGUGCAUGAUAAAUCUUUGGAACUAUUCAUAAUUGAUAUUGCUUAAAUGCCUUGAGAUACAAACUGUUAAAUGAUGAAACUAAACUUGGGAGGUAAUAUUUGCGAAAGAAGAAUUUACUAUUUUCCUAUUAUUGAGCUUUCGUUAUUAUUCAUGAAAUCCAUGCUUAGUAUAAAAUUUUGAUAUAUCAUUGUUAGCCCAUAGAAAGUGUAAUAGUCGACCCCUCGUUACUACUUCUUCGAGGUUAGACUAGAUACUUACUGGGUACAUGUUGUUUAUCUACUCAUACAAUACUUCUACACUUAAUUGUGCAGGAUCUGAGGCAGGUACAUCUGGUUACCAGUCCGACGUGCAUAUUUGAUCCCCGCUACGAGACUAUAUAGUGAGCUGCCUUUUCGAGUCGUUCUGAGUAGCUGGAGUCUUUCUUUUGAUUAUGUGUUCUGUCUAUUCCAUUUCAGGCAGUAGAUUAGAAAUCUUUUGUAUAUUCUACUAGUAGCCCAUAUACUUAUGACACUGGGUCUUAGCACACACUAGUAGACUUAUGAUUUUGGGUUGCAUUUCUACGGUUAUGAUUUCAUUUAGCUGCUUUCGUUUUGAUCACUUUAAAAUCUGUUAUUUGUUAAAUUCUUUAAUUAAAGAAAGUUAGUAGUUUGAAAAACUUAAAAAAGAAAGAAAGAUGGACAUCACUAGAUUGUUCACUAUUGGCUUGCCUAACAACGGUGUUGGGAGCCAUCACAGCCUAAACUAGAAUUUUGUCGUGACAACAUAGUAUCAGAGCACUAGGUUCAUAUAGGUCUCACAAGUUAUGGGCAGACCUAGUAGAGUCUUGUUGAUCGGUGUAGAGACGUCUGUACUUAUCUUUGAGAGGCUAUAGGGUGUUAGGAAACUAUUCUUUAUUUAUCUCAUAUCAUGUAGUUGAUGGUAUACUAAGUUUCUUUCUCUUAUUCUCUCACAGAUGGUGAGGGCGCACACGAAAGACGUUCCAGACCCGGGAGGAGCUGCUCCCCCUAUUGCUAGAGGCCGAGGCAAAGGCCCAGGCAGGGCACCAGCCCGAGGUAGGGGAUGAGGACGUCCUAGAGUUUCCCCAGUUUCACCCCCAGCAGAUCCAGUGGAGGAUCCCAUUAUUGAGGAGCAUGGAGAGGUGCCUCAGUAGAGCCAGCCCUGGUGGAUUUCAUGUCGACCCCAGGCUUUCCGUAGGUCAUGGGCCGUAUGUUGCGGUUCAUGGACACUAUGACCUAGGCUGGUUUAUUUCCAGCAGACCCAACCAUAUCUCAGGCGGGAGGGGGAGCACAUACCCCUACUUCCUAGGCUCCGGGGUAUGCAUUUGUCAUAUAUCAGACCCUGGGUGCACUACCCAUGGGCGGAGCCUAGCCAGUUGCAACAGUUGUACUCGAGCCCAGACCAGUUGCGGCCGGCAAGCCACAAAAGCUAUUAGAUAAAUGGACUAGGCUACACCCUCCUGUCUUCGGAGGUGAGCGGCAUGAGGAUCCCAAGGACUUCAUUGAUCGGUGCAGGGACAGACUGCACAACAUAAGGAUAUUGGAUUCCCAUGGGGUGGAUUUCACUACUUUCUAAUUGGAGGGCAGGACCCGUAGGUGGUGGCCGUCUUAUCUUCUUAGCAGACCAGUAGGUUCUCCAUCCAUGACUUGGGAAUAGUUCACACACCUAUUCUUGGAUAGGUAUAUUCCACCCUCUCAGAGGAAAGAGUUGCGGUUUCAAUUUGAGCAGCUCCAACAGGGUCAGAUGUCUGUGACCGAUUAUGAGGCGAGAUUCUUUGAGUUGUCUCGCCAUGCACUUAUGAUACUUCUUACUGACGCAUAGAGAGUGCGGAGGUUUGUUAUAAGGUGCACUCAGGUAUUCAGUUUACUAUGGCACUAGAGGUUGAGAUGAGGACUUCCUACCAUCUAGUAGUGGAGAUAGCUUGGAGGAUUAAGGGUUAUCGUUUGAGAGGUAGAGUGCAGAUGUAGAGGGACAAGAUGAUCUAUUAUUUUGGGGAGUUUAAAGGUGCUCCAUUUGGGGGCCGAGGUCAGUUUGUGAGGGUCAGCCUAGCAUGCCCACAUAUCCAGCACCACCACCUCUUCGGGGUGCUCCGGUGCGACACUAUUUUAGCGCCAUGCCAGAGAGUUUUUAUCGCCCACCAGCCAUUCAGGGUUCUUCCAGUGGGUACUCAAGACACCAGGGUUCCUCUAGCUCCUAUUUCAGUGCCAUGCUAGAGAGUUCAUGCCGCCCACCAACUAUUCAGGGUUCUUCCAGUGGGUCUUCAGGCCAUCAGGGUCAGACUUCAAGGCAGCAAAUCACUGCACUGAGAGGUUGUUUUGAGUGUAGAGAUCUUAGUUAUGUACGGAGAUUCUACCCCAGACUGUGGGGCAAGGUAGUGCAACAACACCGACAACCCAUGAUUACAAUACCAAUUGUCCGACCGCCCAAAGGUGGAGGGCAAGCGGGUAGGGGUCAUCCUAGAGGUGGGGCCAGUAAGGGAGAGUUCAUCCAUCUACUGUUCAGUUAGGCGGAGGCCAGCCAGUCGGUGCUCCAGCCAGGUUCUAUGCCUUCCCAGCCAGACCAGAUGUAGUGUCCUCAGAUGUCGUGAUCACAGGUAUUAUUUCUAUUUGUGAUAGGGAUGCUUCAGUUUUAUUUGAUCCAGGGUCUACCUUUUCAUACGUGUUAUCUAUGUUUUCUCAUUUCCUGGAUAUUCCUCGUGAGUCCUUGGGUACUCCAGUUUAUAUGUCCACUCAUGUGGGUGAUUCUGUUGUUGUGUGUCGGAUCUACCAGUCAUGUGUGGUCACAUUCUGUGGUUACGAGACUAGAGCGGACCUUCUGUUGCUUGAUAUGACCAACUUUGAGGUCAUCCUAAGCAUGGACUGGUUAUUCCCAUAUCAUGCCAAGACUGUUACCUUAGCAACGCCAGAGUUGCCUAGAUUGGAAUGGAAGGGUUCGUCUGUUAGUACAUCUAGUCGGGUUAUCUCUUUUAUGAAAGCUCGACAUAUGGUUGAGAAGGGUUGUUUGGCCUAUCUAGCUUAUGUUUGAGAUACUACCGCAGAGUCUCCGGUGAUUCAUUCAGUGCUAGUAGUUCGGGAGUUCACCGAUAUGUUUUCUUCUAGCCUUCCAGGCAUGCCACCAGAUCGUGAUAUCGAUUUUUGUAUUGACUUGGCUCCAGGUACCCAACCUAUAUCCAUCCCACCGUACCGUAUGGCUUCGAAAGAGUUGAAGGAGUUGAAGGAGCAGCUUGAGGAGUUGCUAGCCAAGGGGUUUGUCAGACCAAGUGUAUCACCUUGGGGUGCACCAGUGUAUUUGUGAAGAAAAAAGAUAGGACUAUGCCGAUGUGCAUUGAUUAUCGCCAGUUGAACAAGGUCACCAUCAAGAACAAGUACCUGUUGCCACGUAUUGAUGAUUUGUUUGACCAGUUGCAGGGUGCUAGGGUGUUCUCUAAGAUUGACUUGAGAUCAAGAUACCACCAGUUAAAGAUUCUGGACUUGGAUGUUCCGAAGACUACUUUCCGUAUUAGAUAUGGCCAUUAUGAGUUUCUAGUGAUGUCUUUCGGCUUGACUAAUGCCCUAGCGGCGUUUAUGGAUUUGAUAAACAGGGUGUUCAGGCCUUAUGUUGAUUCGUUUGUCAUUGUCCUCAUUGAUGACAUUUUGAUCUACUCAUAUACUAUGGAGGAGCACGAGCGGCAUUUGAGAGUGGUGUUUUAGACCUUGCAGGAGCAGAAGCUAUAUGCUAAGUUCUCCAAGUGUGAGUUUUGGUUAGAUUUGAUGGCAUUAUUGGGGCAUAUUGUAUCAAGCGAGGAUAUUAAGAUGGAUCCUAAGAAGAUUGAGGUAGUUUAGAGUUGGCCUCGUCCCACUUGGGCGACUAAGAUCAGGAGUUUCUUGGGAUUAGCAGGUUAUUAUUGUCGGUUUGUGGAGAGCUUUUAAUCUAUUGUAGCACCUUUGACUAGAUUUACCAAGAAGGGUGCUUCGUUCCGUUGGUUCAUGAUUUUGAGGCAAGCUUUCAGAUGCUCAAGACGGCUUUGACUAUAGCACUGGUUAUAGUGUUACAUUCCGGUUCGAGGAUGUAUACGGUUUAUUGUGACGCUUCACGCAUUGGUUUAGGUUCUGUACCAAUGCAGAAGGGGCGAGUUAUUGCAUAUGCUUUAUGUCAGCUGAAGAUUCAUGAGAAGAAUUACCAUGUUCAUGAUCUAGAGUUAGACAUGAUUGUUCAUGCUCUUAAGAUCUGGAGGCAUUAUCUUUAUGGGGUGUCCUGUGAGGUUUACACUGAUCAUCGCAGCUUGCAGCAUUUGUUCAAGAAAAGGGAUCUCAAUUUGAGGUAGCGUAGAUGGCUUGAGUUACUAAAGGAUUAUGCAUCACCAUUCUUUAUCAUUCGGGAAAGGCGAAUGUAGUCGCGGAUGCCUUGAGCAGAAAGUCAGAGAGUUUGGGUAGAUGGGCAUACAUUUCAGUAGGGGAGAGGCCACUAGCUUUGGGCAUUCAGCCAUUGGUUAACAGACUUGUGAGGUUGGACAUUUCAGAGCCCAGCCGAGUUCUUGCAUGCGUUGUUGCUCAGUCUUCACUAUUGGAGCAGAUCAAGGCUCGACAGUUUGAUGAUCCGCAUUUUAUGGUCCUGAGAGAGACGGUAAUACAGGGUGGUGCCAAGGAGGUUUCUAUCGGCGUGGAUGGUGUUCUGAGACUCUAAGGUCGCCUAUGUGUUCCUAAUGUCCAUGGCUUGAGAGGGAGGAUUCUAGAGGAGGCACACAGUUCUCGGUAUUCCAUUCAUCCAGGUGCUACGAAGAUGUAUCGUGACCUGAGGCAGCAUUAUUAGUGGCGGAGGAUGAAGAAAGACAUAAUUGAGUAUGUAUCUAGGUGCCUAAAUUGCCAGCAGGUUAAGUAUGAGCAUGAGAGGCCAGGUGGCCUAUUCCAGCAGAUGACUAUAUCGGAGUGGAAGUGGGAGUGCAUUAUUAUGGACUUCGUAGGUGAGUUGCCGUGGACCUUACGAAAGUUUGAUUCAGUUUUGGUCAUUGUCGACAGGUUGACCAAGUCGUUACAUUUCAUUCCAAUUGUAACUACGUAUACUUUAGAUAGGUUGGCUUAGAUUUAUAUUCAGGAGAUAGUUCGGUUGUAUGGUGUGCCUGUUUUCAUCAUAUCAGAUAGAUGCCCUCAGUUUACUUCACAUUUCUGGAGAGCCUUACAAAGUGAGUUAGGGACCCGUGUAGAGCACAUCACAGCGUUUCAUCCACAGAUUGACGGGCAGUUGGAACGGAUAGUUCAGAUCUUGGAGGACAUGCUCAGAGCAUGUGUGAUUGACUUUGGAGGGCUGUGGGAUCGAUUCUUACCUUUGGCCGAGUUUGCUUAAAAUAAUAAUUAUCAGUCCAGCAUCGAGAUGGCUCCAUUUGAGGCAUUAUAUGGUCAGCGAUGUUUUUCUCCCAUCGAGUGGUUUGAGCCCGGCGAGGCUAAGUUAUAUGGUACUGAUUUGGUGAAGGAUGCCUUGGAAAAGGUAAAGUUGAUUUAGGAGCAACUUGGCACAGCACAAUCCAGACAUAAGAGUUACGCGAAUCAGAAGGCGCUUGACUUGUCAUUUAUGGAGGGCGAGAAGGUUCCCUUGAAAGUCUCACCGAUGAAGGGGAUCAUGAGAUUCGGGAAGAAGGGAAAGUUGAGCCCAAGGUUUAUAGACCCAUUUGAGGUGUUGAGACGAGUUGGGAAAGUUGCUUUACCUCUCAGCCUAUCAGGAGUUCAUCCGAUUUUUCAUGUGUCUAUGCUCCGGAGGUAUCACGCCGAAUUGUCACAUGUGUUAGACUUCAGCACUGUUUAGUUAGAUGAGAACCUGGCUAUAAGGAGGAGCGAGUUGCCAUUGUUUCUAGAUAGGAUUGCAAGCUGAGAUCCAAGAGGAUUUCGGCGGUAAAGGUUCAGUAGAGGGGACAAUCAGUCGAGGGGGCAAUCUGGGAGUCUGAGGAGGACAUGCAGAGCAAAUAUCCACACUUAUUCAGCACUCUAGGUAUGAAUCUAAACCCGUUCAAGGACGAACGUUUGUUUAAGAGGUGGAGAAUGUAACGACUCGACUAGUCGUUUUGCUUUCUAGAACCCUGUUCCCCUAAAUAAGACUUCACUUACGUGCUUCUACUAUUUUAUAACUUGCAAAGAUGGUUAGUUCGGGAUUUGGAAGGGUUUGGGUUGAAAUCGGAAUACUUGGAUCCUAAAGGUUGGCUAAAAAGGUCAAGUUUGACUUCGGUCAACGUUUUGAGCAAACGACCUCGGAAUAGGGAUUUGUCGGUUCCAAUAGGCUCGUAUGAUAAUUUUGGACUUGGGCUUAUGUUCGAAUUGGGUUUCGAAUGACCUGGGAGCAUUUUGGCGCUUAAUAGUAAAAGUUGGUUCUUUGAAGAUUUUGGAAGUUUUUUAAAUUUGGUUUGGAGCGGAUUUUGGUGAAUUCGAGGUCCAAAUGGAAUUCCGAGACCAAGAAUAGUUCUGUAAUGUCAUUUAAGACUUGCACACAAUAUUUGAUGUCAUUCCGAGUAGUUUAAGUAUGUUUCGGCACAUUGGAAGUAAAUUGAAGAACUUGAAGUUCAUAAGUUUGAAUCAAUUGGUUUUGGGGUGUGAUUCUUAGUUUUGAUGUUGUUUUAGGCGUUCCGAGAGUUCGAACAAGUCCGUUUUAUGAUUCCAAACUUGUUGGUAUGUUCGAGCGGGGCCCCGGGGGGCCCUAGUAUCAAUUAGACGAGGCUCGGAUCAAGUUGGAAACUUGGAGAAACAGUUGAAGCUCCAGCUGCUGUCAUAAUCGCACCUGCGCUUGGCCAGCCGCAAGUGCAAGCUCGCAGAAGCGAGCCAUGCCUCGUAGAAGCGGCCAAGGAUCCACAGGUGCACCACAACCUCUGCAGAAGCGGGAGCUAGCCUACCUGGGGACUUCCACAGAAGCGGACUUUUGUCCGCAGAAGCGAUGGCGCAGGUGCGGCCCUGAGACCGCAGGUGCGGAAUCGCUGGAGGUAGUGAGCCUGUUUUAAAUACGGGACUUAGGCAUUUUUCUCCCAUUUUUCACUUACUUGGGAAAUUUUAGAGCUUCAAAAAGGGAGAUUUCAACCUAGCUAUUUAGGGUAAGUAAUUCCUACCUAAUGUGAGUUUAAUACAUAGAUUAUGGGUAUAUUUUAACAUGUAAAUUUGUAGAAUUCAUGGGUUAGAUGGAAAAUCUAGAUUUUUGAUAAAAAUGAGAUUUAACUACGAUAUUUGUUAUGGAAUUUGGUAAAAAUCAUAUAUUUGAGAUCAUGAGGUUAUGGGUAACAACUUUCUUCAAAAAUUUCGGAAUUCGGGCACGUGUGCCCGGGGUGAAUUUUAGGAACCUUACAUUUAGUGUUGGGUAAUCACUUAAAUAGUUAGGAUAUGAAAUUUUGAACAUAUAUUGAUUAGUUUAUACACUAUUUGAAUAGUUUUUUAUCGUUCGACAUCGAUUUGAAGGCUUGAGCAUAAUCUUGGACCAAAAAGUAGGCCUUGAAACGAGGUAAGUCUCUUUUCUAACCUUGUAUGAGGGAAUUAACCCCAUAGGUGAAUUAUAACUAAUAUGUGCUCCUAUGUGUGGGGGCUACGUAUGCACGAGAUAACAAGAGUCUGUAUGUAGCUACUAAUUAUGCUAUUUCCGGGUAGUCUAAGACUCAUACCAUGAUAUACUUGAAAUGUUUGCACCCCUACUUGUUGAUUUAAUUGAUUAAGUCAUAUAGGAAGUUGAUAAAAGAAUUAUAAAAGGUAAAAUUUCACUUACUUGAAGUUGUGAAUGGAACACUUGACUAUAAAUGAGAAUUUGUGUCUUAUUUGAAAUGUUUUCUAUUUGUGGAACGGGCCGAACGCCUCGAUAGCAAAUAGAUGCAUCUAUGGUUCGUGACGUUCGACCCUCGGCAGUGCAUAGUUUAAAUAUUAUGUUGGAUCGGGCUGUACAACCUCGACAUAAUUUGCGCAUGAUAAUUUUUGGAAAUAUUCAAAAUUGAUAUUGCUUAAAUGCCUUAAGAUACAAACUUUUAAGUGAUGAAACUAAACUUGGGAGUUAAUACUUGCGAAAUAAGAAUUUACUAUUUUCCUAUUAAUGAGCUUUCAUUAUUAUUCAUGAAAUCCAUGCUUAGUAUAAAAUUUUGAUAUAUCGUUGUUAGCCCAUAGUAAGUGUCAUAGUCGACCCCUCGUUACCACUUCUUCGAUGUUAGACUAGAUACUUACUGGGUACAUGUUGUUUAUGUACUAAUACUACACUUUUGCACUUAAUUGUGCAAGAUCGGAGGCAGGUACAUCUAGUUACCAGUCCAACGCGCAUAUUUGAUCCCCGCUACAAGACUAUGCGAUGAGUUGCCCUUCCAAGCCGUUCUGUAGUAGCCAGAGUCAUUCUUUUGUUUAUUUGUUCUGUCUAUUCCAUUUCAGACAGUAGAUUAGAAAUCUUUGUAUAUUCUACUAGUAGCCCAUAUACCUGUGACAUUGGGUCUUGGCACACACUAGUAGACUCAUGAUUUUGGGUUGUAUUUCUACGGUUAUGAUUUCAUUUAAUUGCUUUCGUUUUGAUCACUUUAUAAUCCGUUAUUUAUUAAAUUCUUUAAUUAAGAAAAGUUAGUAGUUUGAAAAACUUAAAAAAUAAAGAAAGAUGGAAAUCACUAGAUUGUUCACUGUUGGCUUGCCUAGCAACGUUGUUGGACGCCACCACGGCCUAAACUAGAAUUUUGUUGUGACACCUACCUUAAAGAUAAUAUACACACACGGUCAAAGGGAGAGGAAGACAGUUGCUUCUUAUCUUCUUCUUCCUCGCAAAAACAACCAUUCACCUCCAUUAAAGAGACCUAGAACCAGCAGCCCCACCUCCUCUGAACCCUAGAGGACAAAAUCACCUUAGAGACAAGGCAAGGGAAGGCCGCUGCGAAUCUUCUUCCUCGCAAAGAGCUUCAGCUGCACCUCCUAACACCCACGGCCAAAAUUCCCUUUCCUUCUCCAACACCUACAUCCAGAACCCCCCCCCCCCCAAACACGAGCGACUCACCCCAUCUCCCUCAUCCCUUUUCCUCGCCACCGUAGCUAUAUGACGAAGUUGCCGGAGGUGACUGACCUCCAUUGAUGCCGGCCAUCACCUCGCUGCCUCACUUCCCCUCUCUCAUCUCCUUGAAUCUUUUGAAUUUGGUACGUUCAUGGAGUAAGUACUAGAUUUGGCCGGAUUAGUUGGUUUUUUGCCGAGAAAUAACAUUUUCGGUAGCCAUAUAUCAUUGUUAUUCAUUUUGGCCGGAGUCACAUCCUUCGCCGGUGACUUUAAUGCCUUUCUGGCAGCUCUGCACUUCGCCACUAUUUGUGACCAUAUUCUUUUGGCGAAAACUUGUCGAGCAGCAAAACUUUGUCGAAGAUCCGGUGAAGCUUCAAUGUCGAGGUUCUAGAGAUCAACGACAUUGGUUUCGCAUUCCAUUCACUUCAUGGACGAUUUGUCGUAAAACUUCCCUUAUCAAUAUAUUGGAAGAUAUUGAGGUUCAUUUUUAACCUUAUCUUUUUUAUGAUUUCAAAAAGUCUAUAGUAUUUGUUCUAAUCAUACGUUAAUGGUUUUGGUUUGAACACAAAGGAUCUUAAAUAGCUCACCUUUCUUUAUUUUAUCUGUGUCGUUUGGUUGCCUAAAACGUUAGAGGUUGGUUGUUUGCGUGACAUGACUUUUGCA
RNAcentral lists this long non-coding RNA (27648 nucleotides) under Nicotiana tabacum (common tobacco). RNAcentral describes it as "long non-coding RNA (NTAB_LNC012146)". The record is from RNAcentral. Lineage: Eukaryota; Viridiplantae; Streptophyta; Magnoliopsida; Solanales; Solanaceae.